Molecule: long non-coding RNA, 1066 nt
Filed under: Brassica napus (rape)
Lineage: Eukaryota; Viridiplantae; Streptophyta; Magnoliopsida; Brassicales; Brassicaceae
Description: long non-coding RNA (BNAP_LNC024540)
Source: RNAcentral
GGGUUUAAGGGAUAUAAUUUGGGGUUUAAUACUAAAGUUCAUAGUUAAGGUUUUCAAAAAUAAAGUUCUGAAUUUAUGAUCAAAAUGACUAGAUUUUAAUUUUUAUAAGUGGUAUAAAAAUAAGGAUUAAACUUUAUGAUUAGCCAAAAAACAAAAUUAUGUGUUCUAUCCUCUUCUCAAAGUUUAGUGUUUAUGAUAUAAAUUUUAAAGUUUAGAUCUUAACUUUUUAAGUUUGAAGUAUAUUUUGCGUCUGUGGAAUAUGAUUAGGGGAAUAGUGUUUGGGGUUAAGAUUUGAGGUUAUAGUGUGAAAAUAAGAUUUGUGUUUAGGAAAUUACAGUUUAAGAUUAAGAUGAUUAAAUUUUGAAUUUAAUUUUAAGAUUUGAAGUUAUAAUAUUAAAAGAUUAGAGUUUUAAAGGUUGUCUUUAUAGUUUAGGGUUUAAAAUCAUGUUUAGGGUUUAGGGGUUCAAAUAGCUUUUCUUAGCGUUAGAAAAAAUGCUAUUAUAUGUUUUUGAUAGCAUUGCUGAAGCCGAUUAAAUAAUUCAUUUGGCGCUUAAGUUUAAUUUCACGAUAAGUAUUGGCGGAAUCAAUGAUUUUAUCUUCCCAUUCCCUUAAUUUUCUGAAUAGCAUUAAUUAAGUGUUAUUUUAGGUUCCAUUCUAUCAUAGCAUUCAUCUAACGCUAUUAUAUAAUACGGAAAUUUCUAAAUCAUAGACGAUAGUAGUUCAGUAAAACGUGCUAUAACAAUCUGCUAUCAAUGUAGAUUUUUUCGUAGUUAACAGAUAGGAAGGCUCUGUGCGGGUCAAAGUAAUUCUGAGUUGAGAAGCUCUUCCAGUUUUUUUCGCAAGACUCGGUUGAGACUCUUUGCAAAGUAUAUAUACUCCACCCACUGCAAUUGUGUUUGGUCACAUGAUCAUUAUCAUUUACAUAUGCAACUAGUUGAUGUGCGGACUAAUAUAUAUAUAUAUAUAUAUAUAUAUAUCUACCAAUUUUUAACUAAUAUUUAUUUAUAAUAAAAAUUAUUAAAUUAGAUAUAAAUUUAGAUUAAUAUUAUAAUUAUGAAACUUCAAU